RNAcentral lists this transfer RNA (76 nucleotides) under Verrucomicrobiota bacterium. Its description in RNAcentral is "Verrucomicrobia bacterium (anaerobic digester metagenome) tRNA-Val". It matches the Rfam family "tRNA". From Rfam's summary of the family: Transfer RNA (tRNA) molecules are approximately 80 nucleotides in length. Their secondary structure includes four short double-helical elements and three loops (D, anti-codon, and T loops). Further hydrogen bonds mediate the characteristic L-shaped molecular structure. tRNAs have two regions of fundamental functional importance: the anti-codon, which is responsible for specific mRNA codon recognition, and the 3' end, to which the tRNAs corresponding amino acid is attached (by aminoacyl-tRNA synthetases). tRNAs cope with the degeneracy of the genetic code in two manners: having more than one tRNA (with a specific anti-codon) for a particular amino acid; and 'wobble' base-pairing, i.e. permitting non-standard base-pairing at the 3rd anti-codon position. Lineage: Bacteria; Pseudomonadati; Verrucomicrobiota. RNAcentral also lists the same sequence under 3 other names. The record is from RNAcentral.
GGGCGAUUGGCGCAGCGGCUAGCGCGUCUCCCUUACACGGAGUAGGUCGCAGGUUCGAAUCCUGCAUCGCCCACCA